RNAcentral lists this ribosomal RNA (253 nucleotides) under uncultured bacterium. RNAcentral describes it as "partial 16S ribosomal RNA". It matches the Rfam family "Bacterial small subunit ribosomal RNA", at positions 524 to 776 of the family's 1533-position model. The record is from RNAcentral.
UACGGAGGGUGCAAGCGUUAAUCGGAUUUAUUGGGCGUAAAGGGCGCGUAGGCGGGAUUGCAAGUCAGACGUGAAAUCCCGGGGCUUAACCCCGGAACAGCAUCUGAAACUCCAAUUCUAGAGGAUAGACGGGGAAAACGGAAUUCCACGAGUAGCGGUGAAAUGCGUAGAUAUGUGGAAGAACACCGGUGGCGAAGGCGGUUUUCUAGUUUAUUCCUGACGCUAAAGCGCGAAAGCUAGGGGAGCAAACAGG